GCGAAGGUGGCGGAAUUGGCAGACGCGCUGGAUUCAGGUUCCAGUGGGAUCACUCCCGUAAGGGUUCAACUCCCUUUCUUCGCA
Molecule: transfer RNA, 84 nt
Filed under: Pajaroellobacter abortibovis
Lineage: Bacteria; Pseudomonadati; Myxococcota; Polyangiales; Polyangiaceae
Rfam family: tRNA
About the family: Transfer RNA (tRNA) molecules are approximately 80 nucleotides in length. Their secondary structure includes four short double-helical elements and three loops (D, anti-codon, and T loops). Further hydrogen bonds mediate the characteristic L-shaped molecular structure. tRNAs have two regions of fundamental functional importance: the anti-codon, which is responsible for specific mRNA codon recognition, and the 3' end, to which the tRNAs corresponding amino acid is attached (by aminoacyl-tRNA synthetases). tRNAs cope with the degeneracy of the genetic code in two manners: having more than one tRNA (with a specific anti-codon) for a particular amino acid; and 'wobble' base-pairing, i.e. permitting non-standard base-pairing at the 3rd anti-codon position.
Source: Rfam by way of RNAcentral